RNAcentral lists this ribosomal RNA (557 nucleotides) under Bryophryne sp. MUSM_27961. RNAcentral's name for it is "partial large subunit ribosomal RNA". It matches the Rfam family "Bacterial large subunit ribosomal RNA", at positions 1811 to 2604 of the family's 2925-position model. The record is from RNAcentral. RNAcentral also lists the same sequence under 1 other name. Lineage: Eukaryota; Metazoa; Chordata; Amphibia; Anura; Craugastoridae.
AAACAUCGCCUUUUGACAUCUUCAUAAAAGGUCCAGCCUGCCCAGUGACUUUUGUUCAACGGCCGCGGUAUCCUAACCGUGCAAAGGUAGCGUAAUCACUUGUUUUUUAAAUAAAGACUAGUAUGAAAGGCAUCACGAGGAUAAAGCUGUCUCCUUUUUUUGAUCAGUGAAACUAAUCUUCCCGUGAAGAAGCGGGAAUAUUUAAAUAAGACGAAAAGACCCUAUGGAGCUUUAAACAUUAUAGCAUAUGUUAACUCAUCUCACCUCAAGCAUCAUUGACUAUAAGUUUUCGGUUGGGGCGACCACGGAGCAAAACAAACCCUCCUAGUUGAUUAUACCUCUAAGCCCAGAGCUACAGCUCCAAGCAUUAAUAAAUUAACAUCAAUUGACCCAGUAUUCUGACCAACGAACCAAGUUACCCUAGGGAUAACAGCGCAAUCUACUUCAAGAGCCCUUAUCGACAAGUGGGUUUACGACCUCGAUGUUGGAUCAGGAUGUCCUAGUGGUGUAGCCGCUACUUUAGGUUCGUUUGUUCAACGAUUAAAAUCCUACGUGAU